This 253-nucleotide ribosomal RNA is filed under the name uncultured bacterium. RNAcentral describes it as "partial 16S ribosomal RNA". It matches the Rfam family "Bacterial small subunit ribosomal RNA", at positions 524 to 776 of the family's 1533-position model. The record is from RNAcentral.
UACGUAGGGUGCAAGCGUUGUCCGGAAUUAUUGGGCGUAAAGAGCUCGUAGGUGGUUUGUUACGUCUGCUGUGAAAACCUAGGGCUUAACCCUGGGCUUGCAGUGGAUACGGGCAGACUAGAGGUAGGUAGGGGAGAAUGGAAUUCCUGGUGUAGCGGUGAAAUGCGCAGAUAUCAGGAGGAACACCAAUGGCGAAGGCAGCACUCUGGGACGUGACUGACGCUGAGACGCGAAAGCGUGGGGAGCAAACAGG